This is a long non-coding RNA of Brassica rapa (field mustard), 747 nucleotides long. RefSeq lists it as uncharacterized. NCBI's taxonomy places the organism in Eukaryota, Viridiplantae, Streptophyta, Magnoliopsida, Brassicales, Brassicaceae. The record is from RefSeq and is a predicted model, not a curated record.
UUUCUUGUUUUGCCUAUGUGUGACUUGGGUGAAACUUUUGCAUCUGAUGAUCGUCUCUGCAACUCCAUAUUGUUUUCUCAGUGAUCUUAAGAAAACUCUGAACGGUUCCAUAUUGAUCCUUUGAGUUCAGAUGGAUAUGCAUCCACCAGUGAAUGGUCAGAAGACAUCUAGACUCUGGCGAAGUCUAACAUCAUAUCAAGCCUCUUCUUCUCCAGACCUGACACUCAAGUUAUCUAUAUCGAACCCACCACUGGUAUCCUGCGUUACAAUGGGAAUGGCAUUGUUGCUCGUUUGGCUAGUCUCAAGCAAAAGGUAUUCAGCUUUCUUCUUUCUAAGACUUUCUUGAGGUUUAUAUCUUCUGAUAAUCCUUUUUAUAUGUUAAAUUGACCAUUUGAUGAUGCUAAGUGUGUUCAUAAGCUUUAAUAUCCUCAUUUCCCUCCCUGCUUGUUCGCACACUCUUUGUUACAGAAGUAGCGUUUCUUUCUUCCUUCUUACAUUUAUAUCUAUGCUGCUGACCUUUUGAAGUAACUCUAGCAUCUUACUUUGCAUAACCGUAGAUGGUCAAGCUCAUUCUUUCUUCAACAUUUUUCAUUAUCUUCAAUAUCAUCAUUAUGUGACCUUUUGCAGCUUCAAACAGGGCUAUUAUUGUUUUCUUACUUGUUGCAGUGUUAUAAUUUUUGACAACAUCUCAUGUAUUAGUACUAGUUGGAUUGAGAGUUGCAGUAAUGUCCACAUAAUCAUUCAGUU